Molecule: long non-coding RNA, 3345 nt
Organism: Anolis carolinensis (green anole)
Lineage: Eukaryota; Metazoa; Chordata; Lepidosauria; Squamata; Anolidae
Exons: 4
Source: RefSeq, a predicted model, not a curated record
GAGGAGACACUGGCACUCGGCUUCCCAGGAGGCAUUGCGCUGCGCACCGGACAGAAACACGGUCCCUCUUAAAGGGACAGGCCGCAUUUUGUUGCUUUCCCACCUGGCUGCAUGGAUAGGAAGCUGGACUCUCUUUGAGCUGCAAUGCUAUCUCUAUUGCCUUACCACCAAAAUGGCGCUCAGGAGAAAGAAGGGUACUGGCGGAGAAAGUGUGGCCUUUAUUUCAAACUUUAUGGUUUCUGUCCUUCCUCACAAUGAAGAAGCAUCAGGAUAGUUAUCUGCAUCUUUCCACGCUAUCAGCAAGCUUUCCAUGUUGUCCCCUGAGGUUUUGCUCAUGGAGCUCACAGUUCCUGGCUUAAUAAACGGCUGCAUACUUCAUGUGACAAGAAAAGAAAUGAGAUAAUAGGUUAACAUAUCCAUUUGCCUCCGCCGGAAACCAAUGGCCCUGGACAGUGAGAGACCUGGAAUGUGCUCCCCACCCAUGCAGAGAGGCAUCUGUCAUUAUCGUUCUGAACGGUCCAUGAGGACAGAACGGUAUCCCACCGCAUACGUUUGCUCGAAGCAUCCACCAGUGGAGGGACCGUCUGACCGGUGAAGGCAUGGAUACUAACCAUGGAAGCCUGAGUAGGACAUGGGUUGGAGAUGGCCUUUCAUAGCUAUCGAUCCCUGGCCUUCUAUAAACAAGAGACAUCUGGAAACACUUGAGGCCAGAGAGAUGCAGUUCUACUUUCAAUCCUCCGUUCUUACGUUACCAAACUGCCCAGCACUAUCUAGUUUGGAAGAAGUCAGCAAUGCCAUCAGCCAACAAAAAAACAACAAAGCCAGCGGACCUGAUGGGAUCCCUGCUGAACUCUUCAAAGAGGGUGGACCUAAGCUGAUACAACAACUCCACCAGCUCAUUGAAAAGGUGUGGGUGACUGACAAAAUCCCAGCAGACUUCAAAGAUGCUACCAUCAUCACCCUUUACAAGAAAGGGGAUAGAACAGACUGCGGGAACUAUCGCAGUAUCUCCCUUCUAACCUCGCAAGAAUCCUUGCAAACCGCCUUCUUUCUGUCUCAGAAGACACCCUCCCAGAAUCCCAGAAUGACUUCCGCUUCUCCAGAGGAACAGUGGACAUGAUCUUCACUGCACGACAGCUCCAAGAAAAAUCAACCUCUGUACGUGGCAUUCAUUGACCUUGCAAAGACAUUUGAAACAGUGAAUCGCAACGCUCUCUGGACCAUCCUCCAAAAAAUUGGGUGCCCUGACAAAUUUGUGAACAUCCUGCGGCUCCUCCAUGAUGACAUGAUGGAAACAGUCUUGGACAGCAAUGGCUCCCAAACUGACCCAUUUAAGUGGAAUCUGGUGUUAAGCAGGGAUGUGUUAUUGCCCCUACCUUAUUUUUCAUCUUCAUUGCUAUGAUUCUUCACCUUGCUGAUGGGAAGCUUCCCACCGGAUUGGAAAUUAUCUAUCGGACAGAUGGCAAGCUAUUUAACCUCAGCAGACUGAAAGCCAAAACCAAGGUCACCACAACAUCUAUUAUAGAACUCCAAUAUGCUGAUGACAACAUAGUCUGUGCACAUUCAGAAGACCUACAAGCCACUAUAAACACCUUCGCAGAAGCAUAUGAGAAGCUCGGCCUCUCACUGAACAUCGAGAAAACCAAAGUGCUCUUCCAACAGGCACCAGUUAACCCCUCUGAAAUGCCAGGAAUAAAGCUUAAUGAUGUAACACUAGAAAAUGUUGACCAUUUCCGCUACCUUGGCAGCCACCUCUCCACAAAAGUCAACAUUGACACUGAAAUACAACACCGUCUGAGCUCUGCGAGUGCAGCAUUCUUCUGCAUGAAGCAGAGAGUGUUUGAGGAUUGGGACAUCCGUAGAGAUACCAAGGUGCUUGUUUAUAAAGCCAUUGUCCUCUCAACCCUGCUCUACGCCUGCGAAACGUGGACAGUCUACAGACAUCACUCUCAACUCCUGAAGCGUUUCCAUCAGCGCUGCCUCAGAAAAAUCCUGCAAAUCUCUUGGGAAGACAGGCGGACAAAUGGCAGAGUGCUGGAAGAAGCAAAGACCACCAGCAUUGAAGCGAUGCUCCUACGCCAUCAACUCCGCUGGACUCACCACGUUGUUCGAAUGCCUGAUUACCGUCUCCCAAAGAAGCUACACUACUCCUAACUCAAAAACGGGAAACGUAACGUUGGCGAGCAGGAAAAGAGAUUUAAAGAUGGGCUUAAAGCCAACCUUAAAAACUGUGGCAUAGACACUGAGAACUGGGAAGCCCUGUCCCUUGAGUGCUCUAAUUGGAGGUCAGUUGUGACCAGCAGUGCUGCGGAGUUCGAAGAGGCACAAAUGGAGGGCUUAAGGGAGAAACGUGCCAAGAGGAAGGCCCGUCAAGCCAACUCUGACCAGGACCACCUUCCACCUGGAAACCGAUGUCCUCACUGCGGGAGAACAUGCAGAUCAAGAAUAGGUCUCUUCAGCCAUCUACGGACCAUCCCCAAGACAACAGAAAUGGAGGACCAUCAUCCUCAAACUAUGAAGGAUCGCCUAAGUAAGUACGUUACCAAGGUUCAUACUCUUAUAAAUAUUCCACAUUUUCAGCAGCCUUGAUAACUGCCAUAAUUUCUCCUCAGGACUAUAGCAAAAUCAAUGUGUUCUGUGCACCUGAUGUUUCACAUCUCACUUUCACUUUGAUCUGAAAAAGGAGCUCAGUAGAACCCUAUUCUUCAAGCAGUGCUCUUUUCCAAGGAAGGCUGUGAACGCGCACUACAUUUAGAAUACAGGAAGUGAACUAAAAUGACUAUAUUUAAAAAACUAGUCUUGACAGGUACUAAGAUUACCAAAAGAGAAUAAUGGUUUUAAUCUGGAUAAUGCAUUUUCAAAGGAGAGAAUCCAAUUUAAAUUCCUUGUGCAGUAACAGAGAGCCUUGUGGCACUUCAGGUGCCACAAAAGCUUAAAUUAACCCGAGGCUUGUCAUUAUGUUCAGGAAUAAACUUGCAGCAAGUUACACUUGCUUGACACAACUCUUUCUUUAAAUCUCAGAUAAGGUUGGCUACAAGAUGACUUACUGAAGGAAGAAGAAAAAGUACAUUCUUACUGUAUAGUUUUAGGUAUCUGAAUAGCUGCAUUGUUGCUUCCUGUCCAUUUCACUUGCAGAUGUCUACACCUCCAUCCACACUUUAUAAGGCUUUAGGAGAGGGCCAAAUAAUCAACAUUGGUGAAUAAAAGUAUCAAGAAAUUAUUGCAACCGUUUUAGUAAAUCUGAAAUCUGAGCAUCUUACCUCAGUCCAAAGAUAUGAGAUUGUUCAUAAUUGAAUAAUGAAUGAAUUUUAGCUGCUGUGUUCACAAUUAUAAGUCUGUCAACAA